This is a small nucleolar RNA of Tachyglossus aculeatus (Australian echidna), 138 nucleotides long. The record is from RefSeq and is a predicted model, not a curated record. Lineage: Eukaryota; Metazoa; Chordata; Mammalia; Monotremata; Tachyglossidae.
CCCCUCUCAGGGUCACACCUGGAGAGUUUCCAGUACUCUACCAGUCUUGGCUACGGGAGGGAGAGUCAGGCAGAGGCCUACCCUUUCCAUUCCCAGCUUAGCCAGCGGCUAGCGAGUGGAAGACGAUCUGCUACAAGU